AAGCUCUAUCACUGCAUAUGGUCAUAAGGAUGAAAUUACUUGCCUGGGUCCACAAGUGAAGAUUCUUCAAUCAUUCGUUCCACGGGCUCAGAGAGGAAAAAAGUGAUAAAGGGACUGAAAGAAGCUGCUGCCACCUUUGUUUGCUGCUGCUGCUUCUGUUGCUGCUGCUUGUCCUCUGCUGCCUCCUGCCUGCUCUGCCAGCCUCCUCUGCCACACCGACCUGCCCUGGAGCUAGCUGAUUAAGAAACCUCUACGACCUAAAUGAGAAAACUAAACACCAGAGAAGACAGUGGUUGACUGAGCAAAAUCGAUACCAAC
Molecule: long non-coding RNA, 318 nt
Organism: Fukomys damarensis (Damara mole-rat)
Lineage: Eukaryota; Metazoa; Chordata; Mammalia; Rodentia; Bathyergidae
Exons: 3
Source: RefSeq, a predicted model, not a curated record